AUACGGAGGGUGCAAGCGUUAAUCGGAAUUACUGGGCGUAAAGUGUGCGUAGGUGGUUUGUUAAGUUAGAUGUGAAAGCCCCGGGCUCAACCUGGGAACUGCAUUUGAAACUGGCAUACUCGAGUAUAGGAGAGGAAAGUGGAAUUUCAGGUGUAGCGGUGAAAUGCGUAGAUAUCUGAAGGAACAUCAAUGGCGAAGGCAGCUUUCUGGACUAAUACUGACACUGAGGUACGAAAGCGUGGGUAGCAAACAGGAUUAGAAACCCCGGUAGUCC
This 274-nucleotide ribosomal RNA is filed under the name uncultured bacterium. RNAcentral's name for it is "partial 16S ribosomal RNA". It matches the Rfam family "Bacterial small subunit ribosomal RNA", at positions 523 to 796 of the family's 1533-position model. The record is from RNAcentral.